UACAAUCCGGCCCAACCAUAACCUCAGUAUGGGAAGCAGGAAUUUCAUACAAUCCGGCCCAACCAUAACCCAACCGGGCUGAUAAUUAUACACGAUUAUGACCACCAUGUGCACAAUAAAGCAUAACUACAUUCCCAACCUGUAAUCAUCCAUGGUCCACAAGGUGCUUAUCUGGACCUAUAUAGAUUAUAUACAACUGCAGAUCAGAAGUCAAGCGCCGGUUCAAUCGCUCUGAAUUAUACAGGCAUAUGAAAAAUCAAGUCUCAAGCAGUGCUCCUGAUAUACACCUCAUCUACAUCUGUCGAGUCACAUGAUUAAGCACAUGAGCCCAUGCAUCAGCUGCAUCUACCUAGCAUCUUCAGGUCCUAAUCCAGGCUCCAGCAAAAUCCAAAUCCCUGCAUUUUUUUGUAACAUGCCAAAAUUAUUCAAUAGUCAACAACAACAAACUAUUAUGUUCCACACAUAGCGAUGUGUGAAAGUAUUACAUAUUUUGAAACCAGGAUGUAAAUUUUUAUUAUUUAAAACGACAGUAAAGCCUCGAUGAUUUUCAAAAGAAAUGCUACGGACAGCAAGGGCUUGCACCACUCUUUGUUUUGAAGUUUUUACUGCUUGUGAGUUUUCACUACAUCUUUCUAGUGAGGGUUAUCUCACCUAGCUGCACACAUCUAUGCUGUUUCGUCUUCAUCAUGUCGACUUCUCAAACCUGCAACAAGCUUGCAUGUCUUCAAGAAAGCAUCCAGCAACUGCAUAGGAAGCACCCAUGUUAAAACUGAGCUGUUCUCACUGUUGAACAUAUCAUCGCAAGAAGCAUGGAUGCAACUCUUGCCAACUGUAACAAAGACAACUUCUAUGAGUGCCAAAACGUUCAACAUGCUGUCAAAAGGUGCACCCAGGCAGAUAAGAACAAGAGAGUGAAUUUUCAGCUCCCGGGUGUCUNNNNN
This 941-nucleotide long non-coding RNA is filed under the name Hordeum vulgare. Its description in RNAcentral is "long non-coding RNA (HVUL_LNC021130)". Lineage: Eukaryota; Viridiplantae; Streptophyta; Magnoliopsida; Poales; Poaceae. The record is from RNAcentral.